RNAcentral lists this ribosomal RNA (1053 nucleotides) under Triticum aestivum (bread wheat). Its description in RNAcentral is "partial small subunit ribosomal RNA". The record is from RNAcentral. Lineage: Eukaryota; Viridiplantae; Streptophyta; Magnoliopsida; Poales; Poaceae.
AUGCCGCUGAACCUCAUACCUGCGGCUAGAAUGAAGUUCACCACGUACGACAAAGCAGGUGACUUUUACAACACUUAUGCCAGCUAUGCAGGGUUUGGCAUACGCAAGAGGGCAAAACACAAGAUAAAUGCCUACAUUGUCUGCUCAAGAGAAGGGGUGCACAAGCAGACUAUGUCAGAUUAUGACCGUAAACGUGAAAAGACAUCAAAAAGGAUUGGCUGCAAGGCAAAAAUAAGAGUCAAAAAGAGGAAGGAUGGCAAAUUUGUGAUGGAAAUGGUUGAACUAAAUCACAAUCACAAGAUGCUGGAAAGCCCCGAGAUGCUUUUGCACAUACGCAAAAGAGACGAUCCUUUGAUUGACCAUACAUGGGACAUACUAGCCACGACUGGGUCAACAAAUGAAAUGAUACCAUCGUUCGAGUGGGUUUUCAAAACAUUCCUGAGGUGUAUGAACAACAAGCCGCCAAUCUGCAUGCUCACUGACCAAUGUUAUUCGAUGAAGGCAGCAUUAAAAACUAUCCUCCUAGAUACAUUACAUAAGUUGUGUCCAUGGCAUAUCGUGAAGAAGUACAAAGACCACCUCGCCUUGCUGUAUAAGGCGCAUGAGAAACUAAAGGAUGACCUCAAUGUGGUGGUGAACCAUCCACUAAUGCCGUCAGAAUUUGAACGGGCAUGGAAGGACCUCAUUCAGAAAUACAACUUGCAAAACGAUGAAGUGGACAAGUGCAUUCAGACCAGGAAGGCCGUCGAGGACACAGAGACAGUAGCAACUGAGUUGGAGGUAAAGACAACAACCCAGUUUGGGUUCGAAGUUCAGCUAUCAGAAGUGUAUACAAGGGCCGUUUUUGCAGAUUUCAAAGAAACACUCUACCGCAACACUGCAUUUAGAGUAGAACGGUGCCCUGAGAACCCGGCAAAGUACCUUGUACACCACUACAAUAGAUCGGAUGCAUUUGACUGGGCAAGUCAUAAUUUCCAAGUGGUCGCCGAUGAAGAUAAAUGUGUCUACGAAUGUGAAUGCAAACUCUGGACACACACAGGUGCGACUCGCUAG